ACACACAUGUGCGCAAACAAAGGAAAGUAAAUAAUAAAUUAAAUGAAAUAAAAACAUGAUAAAAGCGCAUAAAGCCGAACCAAAUGCUAACUGAUGUAGUGAAAUUUAGCGAUAGCGAGAAAAAUGGGGCGAAGGCAGUACCACUUACUCGUGCCAUAUCACCAAACAAACAUACAUACAUACAUACAUACAUACAUACAUACACGUAUGUGCAAUUAAAAGCAUUGACGGCUGUGAAAAAUCGCGCUUUUAAAGAACUAUUGAAAGAAAAAUGGUGAAUCAAAUAAUUGUGGGCACGCAAGAAGCAUAAAAAUAAAAAAUUAAAAAUUUAAAAAUUGAAUGAAAAUAACAAAAUAUGAUUAAAUUACAUACAACGAUAGAUGCGCUGAGAGUUUGACUGCUAGCUUCUCAUGCAUCCACCUUAUAGACCGGACGGACCUCCCACAAAGUGGCGAAGCCUGUAAAAAUCGUUGGUCUCAAUUUUUCGCCAAUAGAGAACUAAAGUUUUUAUGGGAGGGACAUAAUGACUUUAUCUUCAAAAUGGCAAAAAGCUAUCGAGCAACACGGUGUAUAUUUGACAUAAAACGGAUAACUCUGGCUAUGUAAUUUAUUGAACAACGAUAUCUUGAACAAAGGCCAGCAGCGUACGUGAAGUUGGCAAUUAUUAUGAAUUUGUCACAUAAAAAAAAAUAACAACAACAGCCAAGCAUGCGUUGGACCAUAAACAAUUUUACAACACUGCAGUAGAGAUAAGGAAAAUAUUUCGGCUGCUGAUAAGUCGGUCUAAAGUUAUUAUGGCAUAUUUCCCGGAAUUAAUAAAACACAGUAAUAAUAACAUUUGUAAAGUGUGUGAUGAAGACAGCUGAUGGUGCUGAGCAGUUUGUUAACGGAUUUGCGGAAUGAAAGAAAUUUGACUCUUGCGUCUGUUUGCAGGUGUUUAGCUGUUGCUACGAGUUAUAACAGUGUUUACAGAAUGAAUUUCGAUAACAGAGUAGAGGGAUAAGCGUGUUGGUGUAUGAAGAGUAUGCUUUUUCUAAUAAAUAAAAAAGCUUUACAAGUGAAAUAUGCAAAGAAACAGCUGAUGACGCACGAAGCAAGUUUAUGUAAAGUUAAUUAGAAAAACAUUUUGCGGGAAAUGCUAUAAAUUUUUACUGCUUAAAUUUAAAACCAAAAUCGGAUAAUUUUUUAAAUUUCUUCU
Long non-coding RNA from Ceratitis capitata (Mediterranean fruit fly), 1198 nucleotides. RefSeq lists it as uncharacterized. NCBI's taxonomy places the organism in Eukaryota, Metazoa, Arthropoda, Insecta, Diptera, Tephritidae. The transcript is spliced from 3 exons. The record is from RefSeq and is a predicted model, not a curated record.